Molecule: long non-coding RNA, 425 nt
Organism: Oncorhynchus gorbuscha (pink salmon)
Lineage: Eukaryota; Metazoa; Chordata; Actinopteri; Salmoniformes; Salmonidae
Exons: 3
Source: RefSeq, a predicted model, not a curated record
CGGGUUAUAAACACCCAGUAAUCGAUAGGAGACGUGGGAGGUUGGGGGGAGAGGCUUUAUGGGGUUGCCUUUUGUUUUUAAAUAGAUCCCAGUUAGGCCUGGGAUUUGGGCUGUGGUAGGAGGGGAUGGAGGUGAGGCUCUGGAGAGAGACAGAGAGAGAGAGUCGGAGAGGCUCAUGUGGUUCCAGGCACUCGCUGUGUAUGUUAAUUGAGGUUAUGCACUUACUGUGCUGUGAGCAUUAUAACGGUGCAGUCAUAACACUUGACAAAAGGUGGGCCAAAUGGACAGUUAUCUAACGAAUCUUCCAGUCUAGAUGACCAGACGACAGGUCCGGAACGGAGAUCCCCAACGGAGAUCCCCAACCCAGACAUCCCCUGGCAAUUCCUGUGAUCCUUGGCAGCUUCCAGAAAACCUACCAAGGUAGA